RNAcentral lists this ribosomal RNA (230 nucleotides) under uncultured bacterium. RNAcentral's name for it is "partial 16S ribosomal RNA". It matches the Rfam family "Bacterial small subunit ribosomal RNA", at positions 118 to 346 of the family's 1533-position model. The record is from RNAcentral.
UGAGGAACAUGACCUUCGGCGGGGGAUAGCCGGCCCAACGGCCGGGUAAUACCGCGUACGACCACAUGGGGACAUCCCUGAGUGGUGAAAGCAGCAAUGCGCCGAUGGAGUGCCUCGCGGCCUAUCAGCUAGUUGGUGAGGUAACGGCUCACCAAGGCGACGACGGGUANCUGGUCUGAGAGGAUGGCCAGCCACAUUGGGACUGAGACACGGCCCAGACCUCACGGGAG